Molecule: ribosomal RNA, 253 nt
Filed under: uncultured bacterium
Lineage: Bacteria
Description: partial 16S ribosomal RNA
Rfam family: Bacterial small subunit ribosomal RNA
Source: RNAcentral
UACGUAGGGUGCAAGCGUUGUCCGGAAUUAUUGGGCGUAAAGAGCUCGUAGGCGGCCUGUCGCGUCGGCUGUGAAAACCCGAGGCUCAACCUCGGGCCUGCAUUCGAUACGGGCAGGCUAGAGUUCGGUAGGGGAGACUGGAAUUCCUGGUGUAGCGGUGAAAUGCGCAGAUAUCAGGAGGAACACCGGUGGCGAAGGCGGGUCUCUGGGCCGAUACUGACGCUGAGGAGCGAAAGCGUGGGGAGCGAACAGG